GAUGAACGCUGGCGGCGUGCCUAAUACAUGCAAGUCGAGCGAACGGACGAGAAGCUUGCUUCUCUGAUGUUAGCGGCGGACGGGUGAGUAACACGUGGAUAACCUACCUAUAAGACUGGGAUAACUUCGGGAAACCGGAGCUAAUACCGGAUAAUAUUUUGAACCGCAUGGUUCAAAAGUAAAAGACGGUCUUGCUGUCACUUAUAGAUGGAUCCGCGCUGCAUUAGCUAGUUGGUAAGGUAACGGCUUACCAAGGCAACGAUGCAUAGCCGACCUGAGAGGGUGAUCGGCCACACUGGAACUGAGACACGGUCCAGACUCCUACGGGAGGCAGCAGUAGGGAAUCUUCCGCAAUGGGCGAAAGCCUGACGGAGCAACGCCGCGUGAGUGAUGAAGGUCUUCGGAUCGUAAAACUCUGUUAUUAGGGAAGAACAUAUGUGUAAGUAACUGUGCACAUCUUGACGGUACCUAAUCAGAAAGCCACGGCUAACUACGUGCCAGCAGCCGCGGUAAUACGUAGGUGGCAAGCGUUAUCCGGAAUUAUUGGGCGUAAAGCGCGCGUAGGCGGUUUUUUAAGUCUGAUGUGAAAGCCCACGGCUCAACCGUGGAGGGUCAUUGGAAACUGGAAAACUUGAGUGCAGAAGAGGAAAGUGGAAUUCCAUGUGUAGCGGUGAAAUGCGCAGAGAUAUGGAGGAACACCAGUGGCGAAGGCGACUUUCUGGUCUGUAACUGACGCUGAUGUGCGAAAGCGUGGGGAUCAAACAGGAUUAGAUACCCUGGUAGUCCACGCCGUAAACGAUGAGUGCUAAGUGUUAGGGGGUUUCCGCCCCUUAGUGCUGCAGCUAACGCAUUAAGCACUCCGCCUGGGGAGUACGACCGCAAGGUUGAAACUCAAAGGAAUUGACGGGGACCCGCACAAGCGGUGGAGCAUGUGGUUUAAUUCGAAGCAACGCGAAGAACCUUACCAAAUCUUGACAUCCUUUGACAACUCUAGAGAUAGAGCCUUCCCCUUCGGGGGACAAAGUGACAGGUGGUGCAUGGUUGUCGUCAGCUCGUGUCGUGAGAUGUUGGGUUAAGUCCCGCAACGAGCGCAACCCUUAAGCUUAGUUGCCAUCAUUAAGUUGGGCACUCUAAGUUGACUGCCGGUGACAAACCGGAGGAAGGUGGGGAUGACGUCAAAUCAUCAUGCCCCUUAUGAUUUGGGCUACACACGUGCUACAAUGGACAAUACAAAGGGCAGCGAAACCGCGAGGUCAAGCAAAUCCCAUAAAGUUGUUCUCAGUUCGGGUUGUAGUCUGCAACUCGACUACAUGAAGCUGGAAUCGCUAGUAAUCGUAGAUCAGCAUGCUACGGUGAAUACGUUCCCGGGUCU
RNAcentral lists this ribosomal RNA (1372 nucleotides) under uncultured bacterium. RNAcentral's name for it is "bacterial SSU rRNA". It matches the Rfam family "Bacterial small subunit ribosomal RNA", at positions 28 to 1381 of the family's 1533-position model. The record is from RNAcentral.